RNAcentral lists this ribosomal RNA (467 nucleotides) under uncultured bacterium. RNAcentral's name for it is "partial 16S ribosomal RNA". It matches the Rfam family "Bacterial small subunit ribosomal RNA", at positions 28 to 506 of the family's 1533-position model. The record is from RNAcentral.
GACGAACGCUGGCGGCGUGCUUAACACAUGCAAGUCGAACGGAGAGGCCCUGCUUUUGUGGGGUGCUCGAGUGGCGAACGGGUGAGUAACACGUGAGUAACCUGCCCUUGACUUUGGGAUAACUUCAGGAAACUGGGGCUAAUACCGGAUAGGAGCUCCUGCUGCAUGGUGGGGGUUGGAAAGUUUCGGCGGUUGGGGAUGGACUCGCGGCUUAUCGGCUUGUUGGUGGGGUAGUGGCUUACCAAGGCUUUGACGGGUAGCCGGCCUGAGAGGGUGACCGGCCACAUUGGGACUGAGAUACGGCCCAGACUCCUACGGGAGGCAGCAGUGGGGAAUAUUGCACAAUGGGCGGAAGCCUGAUGCAGCAACGCCGCGUGCGGGAUGACGGCCUUCGGGUUGUAAACCGCUUUCGCCUGUGACGAAGCGUGAGUGACGGUAAUGGGUAAAGAAGCACCGGCUAACUACGU